AAGGCAGCUUGCUGGGUCAUUACUGACGCUGAUGCACGAAAGCGUGGGGAUCAAACAGGAUUAGAUACCCUGGUAGUCCACGCCGUAAACUAUGAUCACUCGCUGUUGGCGAUACACGGUCAGCGGCUAAGCAAAAGCAUUAAGUGAUCCACCUGGGGAGUACGGCCGCAAGGCUGAAACUCAAAGGAAUUGACGGGGGCCCGCACAAGCGGAGGAACAUGUGGUUUAAUUCGAUGUUACGCGAGGAACCUUACCUGGGCUUAAAUGUGGAGUGCAUUGGUGAGAAAUCAUCAUUUUCUUCGGAACUCUCUGCAAGGUGCUGCAUGGUUGUCGUCAGCUCGUGCCGUGAGGUGUCGGGUUAAGUCCCAUAACGAGCGCAACCCUUAUCGUUAGUUGCCAGCGGGUCAAGCCGGGGACUCUAACGAAACUGCCGGUGUAAACCGAGAGGAAGGUGGGGAUGACGUCAAAUCAGCACGGCCCUUAUGUCCAGGGCUACACACGUGUUACAAUGGCCGGAACAGAGGGCAGCUACCUGGAGACAGGAUGCGAAUCUCGAAAGCCGGUCUCAGUUCGGAUCGGAGUCUGCAACUCGACUCCGUGAAGCUGGAUUCGCUAGUAGUCGCGCAUCAGCCACGGCGCGGUGAAUACGUUCCCGGGCCUUGCACACACCGCCCGUAAGGGC
This 682-nucleotide ribosomal RNA is filed under the name uncultured bacterium. Its description in RNAcentral is "bacterial SSU rRNA". It matches the Rfam family "Bacterial small subunit ribosomal RNA", at positions 718 to 1403 of the family's 1533-position model. The record is from RNAcentral.